Long non-coding RNA from Trichosurus vulpecula (common brushtail), 978 nucleotides. RefSeq lists it as uncharacterized. NCBI's taxonomy places the organism in Eukaryota, Metazoa, Chordata, Mammalia, Diprotodontia, Phalangeridae. The transcript has 3 exons. The record is from RefSeq and is a predicted model, not a curated record.
CUGAGGCUGGAUUUGAACUCCGGUACUCCUGACUCCAGGACCAGUGCUGUACUCACUGCGCCACCUAACCGCCCUGGCUUCCAACUUUGACACCGCACUGCUCCAGUAUCAAGCUUAAUGAGAAUGGAUGCCUACAGUAUUAAGAAUGGACAUACUGUGGUUACAGUGAUACUCAAGAUGACGGGGGCAUGCUAUAAAAGAUCUUGCAAGUGAACAAGGCUGAAAGUAAACCCAAAGGCACUCAUGGAAGCCACACAACACAUGGAAAACAUUCUGACUCUGAAAUUUGAGGAGCUGCCUUCUGGUAGUCAGUCCUCCCUCCUGGCCUUGUCCUAACCACGUGCCUCUGUACCAAACCCUUUACCUCUGGAGGCUUCUGUUUCCUUCCCCUAUAAAAUGAGGGAGUUGGACAAGAUGGCCUCUGAGGUCCCUGAGAGCUGUCACUUUAUGAUCCUAUGGUAAUUAUAAUGACCAAGCAGCACCAGAAUCUAGAGAAAAAAUACCGAGAAGCAAAAGAACUCAGGAAACAGAAACAGCAACUUUUUGUUAGCAUAUUAUUAAAGGUGAUGCACAGAUUUUUUAAAGCAAACUCCAAAUAACAAACUUAUGGUUUUAUGCGCAAUCAUCCCCUUGCCCCUAUUAUUUGUGUAUGGGGCACUAUAUGACUUAGAGGGGCUGCAGAAUGUAGUGGAGAAUUCACUGCCCUCCCAGUCAAGUCUUACCUCUGACACAUCAUGGCUGUGUGAUGUUAGGCUAAUCACUUAACCUCUUAGGGUUCUAGGCAGAUUUCUAAGACUGUAACUUGUAGAGAAGGUGCCAAUCUGCAUUCAUAAAGGGGAUUUCCUCACUUGGGACUUCCUUAAACCAAUGAAAUGUCAGGUCUAGUCCUUCGCUCCAAUUGCAGUACUUAAAAGUGUGUGCUUAUGGCUGGUAAGUUUAGGACAAGAGUUCUUAACUUCAUCUGUAUCUUGGACCCCU